Molecule: long non-coding RNA, 1911 nt
Filed under: Fragaria vesca (wild strawberry)
Lineage: Eukaryota; Viridiplantae; Streptophyta; Magnoliopsida; Rosales; Rosaceae
Description: long non-coding RNA (FVES_LNC003927)
Source: RNAcentral
UUGUACCCGAGCCUACAGUACCAGGGGUUGCAGUUCCUGCCGCAGAAAACCAAACUUCCUCAACUUCUAUUGUACUUCCCUUCAUUGCCCCUCCCUCUUCUCCUGCAUCUUUCCUGCCAUCUGAACCACCAUCGUCUACUCAAUCACCUGGUGGAUUCAUGUCAUUCGCUGCCCUUUCUGCCAAUGCAUACUCUCCGGGUGGAACUCAGUCCAUGUUUACCAUUGGCCCUUAUGCAUAUGAGACCCAAUUAGUCUCACCACCGGUAUUCUCUACAUUCAACACUGAACCAUCUACUGCUCCAUAUACUCCCCCUCCUGAAUCCGUGCAACUGACUACACCUUCAUCCCCUGAAGUGCCAUUUGCUCAGNNNNNNNNNNNNNNNNNNNNUAAAUGGAGAUGAUGAACGGGACAUAAUUCAGUCCGUCAGAUUUGUUUUUCGAUUUUGAGAGCCUUAACGAUCACCAAAUUGGCUGAAAUUUUGCAGAGAUGAUCUACACAAGAUGAUCUAGAUAUGUCUAGAAGGAAGUUUGAGGAAAUUCGAUCGGAAAGUGGUGUAAAAAUAGAAAUCCGCAUCAAAACUCAGGUGCGGACGUCCGCACCUGAGAAUUCUUGUAUAUAUAUAUAACCUAGUUAACCUAGGUUUAUACACAUUCCUAAUCAAACUAAGACAACAAUGCCCACGUGAUAACACACUGGGCCUCCUAUUUGGGUUUUUGCUAAUUAUCAAUUGAAGCCCAUAUUUAAUAAAUGUGUAUACUGUGACUUCUAGACAGAAGUGGACACUUGGUUUGAAUAAUGGUGAGGGAGGGCCUGGGGGGGUAUAUGUUACAGAUUUUGUUCUGUGAGUACAGUAAAAUCUUUGUUUAAGAAUGAUUCUUUCCUCUUAUUUAGUGAUUGUGUUCUACUAUUCUCUUUGUAGUUGUCGUUAAAUAGUUAACUGUUUGAGAUCAAUAAUUGGUUAUAUUGAUUGUUUGUACCAAUGUGUAUAGUCUAGCUUUUUAAAGGAGGCAAUAAUUCAAGACCCUUGCGAAACUAGUGCAUUUAGGGUUUGAAAUCAUUUGAUUAUAUUGAAUUUUUGUACCAAUGCGCGUUAAUGUGUAACGGCGGUAAUUGAAGAAGUUCUUCUGCUGAAAUAACAAACGGAUGCAUGCAAUCAUGUUAUGCUUGAGCCUUACUAGGUAGAAUUGAUCUCAAUAAUGCAUACAAUUGCUUUGAGUUAUUGACAAUUUUUGUUAUUUGACUACAGAAAAGAAGAUGGGGAAGCUGCUGGAGCCUAUAUUGGUGUUUUGGAUAUCAGAAAAGUAAGCGAAUUGGUCUUGCGGUCCUUGUACCCGAGCCUACAGUACCAGGGGUUGCAGUUCCUGCCGCAGAAAACCAAACUUCCUCAACUUCUAUUGUACUUCCCUUCAUUGCCCCUCCCUCUUCUCCUGCAUCUUUCCUGCCAUCUGGACCACCAUCGUCUACUCAAUCACCUGGUGGAUUCAUGUCAUUUGCUGCCCUUUCUGCCAAUGCAUACUCUCCAGGUGGAGCUCUGUCCAUGUUUACCAUUGGCCCUUAUGCAUAUGAGACCCAAUUAGUCUCACCACCGGUAUUCUCUACAUUCAACACUGAACCAUCUACUGCUCCAUAUACUCCCCCUCCUGAAUCCGUGCAACUGACUACACCUUCAUCCCCUGAAGUGCCAUUUGCUCAGCUUCUGACAUCUUCGCUGGACCGAAGUCGUAGACACAGUGGUGGCAGUCAGAAGUUUGCAUUGUCCUAUGGCGAAUUCCAGCCUUACCAACAAUAUCCAGGAAGCCCGGGUGGCCAACUCAGAUCACCAGGAUCAGCAAUAUCAAAUUCCGGCACAUCUUCUCCUUUUCCCGACAGAUAUCCAGUGCUUGAAUUUCGCAUGGGGGAAGCUCCCAAAC